This 292-nucleotide ribosomal RNA is filed under the name uncultured bacterium. RNAcentral describes it as "partial 16S ribosomal RNA". It matches the Rfam family "Bacterial small subunit ribosomal RNA", at positions 505 to 796 of the family's 1533-position model. The record is from RNAcentral.
GUGUCAGCAGCCGCGGUAAGACGAAGGUGGCAAGCGUUGUUCGGUAUCACUGGGCUUAAAGCGUGUGUAGGCGGAAAAGUAAGCGUCUUGUGAAAUCCCCCGGCUUAACCGGGGAACUGCGUGACGAACUGCUUUUCUUGAGGCAAGUAGGGGUGCAUGGAACUCUUGGUGGAGCGGUGGAAUGCGUAGAUAUCAAGAGGAACGCCAGUGGUGAAAACGGUGCACUGGGCUUGUCCUGACGCUGAGACACGAAAGCGUGGGGAGCGAACGGGAUUAGAAACCCCCGUAGUCC